This 416-nucleotide ribosomal RNA is filed under the name uncultured bacterium. RNAcentral's name for it is "bacterial SSU rRNA". It matches the Rfam family "Bacterial small subunit ribosomal RNA", at positions 1001 to 1414 of the family's 1533-position model. The record is from RNAcentral.
CCGAAAGGCAGGAGUGCCUGCAAGGGAGCGCGGAGACAGGUGGUGCAUGGCUGUCGUCAGCUCGUGUCGUGAGAUGUUGGGUUAAGUCCCGCAACGAGCGCGACCCUCACCUCUUGUUGCCAUCAGGUCAUGCUGGGCACUCUAGAGGAACUGCCCCGGUCAACGGGGAGGAAGGCGGGGAUGACGUCAAGUCAUCAUGCCCCUUACGUCCUGGGCUACACACGUGCUACAAUGGCCGGUACAAAGGGGUGCCACACCGCGAGGUAGAGCUAAACCCAAAAAGCCGGUCUAAGUUCGGAUUGGAGUCUGCAACUCGACUCCAUGAAGGAGGAAUCGCUAGUAAUCGCGUAUCAGCACGACGCGGUGAAUACGUUCCCGGGCCUUGUACACACCGCCCGUCACACCACGAAAGCCAG